AGUGAACAAUUAAACGGCCGCGGUACCCUAACCGUGCAAAGGUAGCGUAAUCAUUUGUCUAUUAAUUGUAGACCUGUAUGAAAGGCAAAAUGAGGGUUUUACUGUCUCUUAUAAUUAAUCAAUAAAACUGAUCUCCUAGUAAAAAAGCUAGAAUAAUUCCAUAAGACCAGAAGACCCUGUGAAGCUUAAAUUAAACUAUUAAACCCAAUAAUAACUACUUUCGGUUGGGGCGACCUUGGAACAAAGUUAAACUUCCAAACACCGUGAUUAUAACCCACAACUUUUAACCAGGCCAACAAGCCUACCUUAACCAUAGACCCAGCAUAGCUGAUAACUGAACUAAGUUACUCCAGGGAUAACAGCGCCAUCUUCUUCAAGAGUCCAUAUCAAAAAGAAGGUUUACGACCUCGAUGUUGGAUCCGGACAUCCUAA
RNAcentral lists this ribosomal RNA (432 nucleotides) under Psomophis obtusus. RNAcentral's name for it is "partial large subunit ribosomal RNA". It matches the Rfam family "Bacterial large subunit ribosomal RNA", at positions 1911 to 2550 of the family's 2925-position model. Lineage: Eukaryota; Metazoa; Chordata; Lepidosauria; Squamata; Dipsadidae. The record is from RNAcentral.